CGGGUUAGAUUAGCCAUGCAUGUGUAGUUUAAGACCAAGUAGGAUGAAACUGCGGACGGCUCAUUAUAACAGUAAUAGUUUCUUUGGUUAGUAUUUACAAGGAUAACUUUGUGAAUGAUAAAGCUAAUACUUGAGACGAUCCGGGAAGUAUUUAUAUUUUCCGGCCCCGGGCGGCAGGGUGGGGGAGAAACGACUUUCUCUUGUGAAAAAGGAGGCCCCGACAAUUGAGGAAAGCGACGCUUUUAACAAGUAACCAAGGGGAAUUUCUGAUCUAUCAUUUUGUUGGUAGUAUCGAGGACUACCAAAAUUAUAACGGAUAACGAGGAAUGGGGGUUCGACUUCGGAAAGGAAGCUUUACAGAUGGCUACCACUUCUAAGGAAGGCAGCAGGCGCGUAAUUUACCCACUUUCGACCCGAAGAGGUAGUGACGACAAAUAACUCUUGGCCCCCUCGGGUACUUGAAGAAUGAAUUAAAGAAAUUCUCUAAGAAAUCAAUGGAGGGAAGUCUGGUGCCACACCGCGUUAUUCCAGCUCCAAUAGGGA
Molecule: ribosomal RNA, 543 nt
Filed under: Entamoeba bovis
Lineage: Eukaryota; Evosea; Mastigamoebida; Endamoebidae
Description: SSU rRNA
Rfam family: Eukaryotic small subunit ribosomal RNA
Source: RNAcentral